CCGGACCACCCAGCAGUCUGGAAGGCGCGGCCUGGAGCUUAGCAAGGGCGAGCGACCGAUGCAGUUGCACUCAGGGUCUCUCUCUUGGGCUUGGUUCGAACCUCUGCUGUCUCAUUCCUGAAGUUUGUAACCCCAUCUCCCUAGGUAGCCCCAGGAUGAUCUAAACUUCGCAGUUCUUCUUGGCGCCUCCCCCAUGCGCCAUCACACCAGGUGAAAUUCCUAAUUUUAUAACAUGACACUACAUGCUUA
RNAcentral lists this long non-coding RNA (249 nucleotides) under Mus pahari (shrew mouse). RNAcentral's name for it is "predicted gene 13830 (MGP_PahariEiJ_G0005309.1)". The record is from RNAcentral. Lineage: Eukaryota; Metazoa; Chordata; Mammalia; Rodentia; Muridae.